UGCGAGCGGCUGGAGAUUGUUGGUGGUCGGCGAGGGAGAGGGAGGCCUAAGAAGCAUUGGGGAGAGGUGAUUAGGCAGGACAUGACCAGAUUGCAGGCUACCGAGGACAUGACCCUUGAUAGGGGCGUUUGGAGGUCUAGAAUCAGGAUUGUAGGCUAGGGGCUCCUAGAGUCCUUCGUUCGCAUUUCUCGGGGUGGGGUGUGGGAUAGUAGGGUUACCCAUAGGUGAUUAGUGUUUUAGCUUAUUUCUCCAUAUGGUUGUUAAUAUGGUAGUUACUGUUUGUUAUUAUUGCAUUAUUGCAUGCGAC
Molecule: long non-coding RNA, 307 nt
Filed under: Nicotiana benthamiana
Lineage: Eukaryota; Viridiplantae; Streptophyta; Magnoliopsida; Solanales; Solanaceae
Description: long non-coding RNA (NBEN_LNC012992)
Source: RNAcentral